RNAcentral lists this ribosomal RNA (2892 nucleotides) under Acinetobacter baumannii. RNAcentral's name for it is "23S ribosomal RNA". It matches the Rfam family "Bacterial large subunit ribosomal RNA". The record is from RNAcentral. Lineage: Bacteria; Pseudomonadati; Pseudomonadota; Gammaproteobacteria; Moraxellales; Moraxellaceae.
GUUGUAUAGUCAAGUAAUUAAGUGCAUGUGGUGGAUGCCUUGGCAGUCAGAGGCGAUGAAAGACGUGAUAGCCUGCGAAAAGCUCCGGGGAGGCGGCAAAUAUCCUUUGAUCCGGAGAUGUCUGAAUGGGGGAACCCACCUACUUUAAGGUAGGUAUUGCAACAUGAAUACAUAGUGUUGCAAGGCGAACGAGGGGAAGUGAAACAUCUCAGUACCCUUAGGAAAAGAAAUCAAUUGAGAUUCCCUCAGUAGCGGCGAGCGAACGGGGAUCAGCCCAUUAAGUUAUGUGUGUUUUAGUGGAACGCUCUGGGAAGUGCGAACGUAGAGGGUGAUAUUCCCGUACACGAAAGGGCACACAUAAUGAUGACGAGUAGGGCGAGGCACGUGAAACCUUGUCUGAAUAUGGGGGGACCAUCCUCCAAGGCUAAAUACUCCUGACUGACCGAUAGUGAACCAGUACCGUGAGGGAAAGGCGAAAAGAACCCCUGUGAGGGGAGUGAAAUAGAUCCUGAAACCGCAUGCAUACAAGCAGUGGGAGCACCUUCGUGGUGUGACUGCGUACCUUUUGUAUAAUGGGUCAGCGACUUAUAUUCAGUAGCAAGGUUAACCGUAUAGGGGAGCCGUAGAGAAAUCGAGUCUUAAUAGGGCGUUUAGUUGCUGGGUAUAGACCCGAAACCAGGCGAUCUAUCCAUGAGCAGGUUGAAGGUUGGGUAACACUAACUGGAGGACCGAACCCACUGUCGUUGAAAAGCCAGGGGAUGACUUGUGGAUAGGGGUGAAAGGCUAAUCAAGCCUGGUGAUAGCUGGUUCUCCCCGAAAGCUAUUUAGGUAGCGCCUCGGACGAAUACCAUAGGGGGUAGAGCACUGUUUCGGCUAGGGGGUCAUCCCGACUUACCAAACCGAUGCAAACUCCGAAUACCUAUGAGUACUAUCCGGGAGACAGACUGCGGGUGCUAACGUCCGUAGUCAAGAGGAAAACAAUCCAGACCGCCAGCUAAGGCCCCAAAAUCAUAGUUAAGUGGGAAACGAUGUGGGAAGGCAUAGACAGCUAGGAGGUUGGCUUAGAAGCAGCCACCCUUUAAAGAAAGCGUAAUAGCUCACUAGUCGAGUCGGCCUGCGCGGAAGAUGUAACGGGGCUAAAACUAUGUGCCGAAGCUGCGGAUNNNNNNNNNNNNNNNNNNNNNNNNNNNNNNNNNNNAUGCUGGAGGUAUCAGAAGUGCGAAUGCUGACGUGAGUAACGACAAAACGGGUGAAAAACCCGUUCGCCGAAAGACCAAGGGUUCCAGUCCAACGUUAAUCGGGGCUGGGUGAGUCGACCCCUAAGGCGAGGCCGAAAGGCGUAGUCGAUGGGAAAAUGGUUAAUAUUCCAUUACUUCUGUGUAAUGCGAUGAGAGGACGGAGAAGGCUAAAUCAGCCUGGCGUUGGUUGUCCAGGUGAAAGGAUGUAGGCAUGUAUCUUAGGCAAAUCCGGGGUACUCUAUGCUGAGAUCUGAUAGCAAGCUGUACUUGUACAGCGAAGUGGUUGAUGCCAUGCUUCCAGGAAAAGUCUCUAAGCUUCAGUUACACAGGAAUCGUACCCGAAACCGACACAGGUGGUCAGGUCGAGUAGACCAAGGCGCUUGAGAGAACUCUGCUGAAGGAACUAGGCAAAAUGGUACCGUAACUUCGGGAGAAGGUACGCUGUUGUUGGUGAUGGAACUCGCUUCCUGAGCUGACGACAGCCGCAGAAACCAGGCCGCUGCAACUGUUUAUUAAAAACAUAGCACUCUGCAAACACGAAAGUGGACGUAUAGGGUGUGAUGCCUGCCCGGUGCUGGAAGGUUAAUUGAUGGGGUUAGCGUAAGCGAAGCUCUUGAUCGAAGCCCCAGUAAACGGCGGCCGUAACUAUAACGGUCCUAAGGUAGCGAAAUUCCUUGUCGGGUAAGUUCCGACCUGCACGAAUGGCAUAAUGAUGGCGGCGCUGUCUCCAGCAGAGGCUCAGUGAAAUCGAAAUCGCUGUGAAGAUGCAGUGUACCCGCGGCUAGACGGAAAGACCCCGUGAACCUUUACUGCAGCUUGACACUGAACUUUGACCUUACUUGUGUAGGAUAGGUGGGAGGCUUUGAAGCUGGAACGCUAGUUCCAGUGGAGCCGUCCUUGAAAUACCACCCUGGUAAUGUUGAGGUUCUAACUCUGUCCCGUGAUCCGGGACGAGGACCGUGUCUGGUGGGUAGUUUGACUGGGGCGGUCUCCUCCUAAAGAGUAACGGAGGAGUACGAAGGUGCGCUCAGCGUGGUCGGAAAUCACGCGUAGAGUAUAAAGGCAAAAGCGCGCUUAACUGCGAGACCCACAAGUCGAGCAGGUACGAAAGUAGGUCUUAGUGAUCCGGUGGUUCUGUAUGGAAGGGCCAUCGCUCAACGGAUAAAAGGUACUCUGGGGAUAACAGGCUGAUACCGCCCAAGAGUUCAUAUCGACGGCGGUGUUUGGCACCUCGAUGUCGGCUCAUCUCAUCCUGGGGCUGAAGCAGGUCCCAAGGGUAUGGCUGUUCGCCAUUUAAAGAGGUACGCGAGCUGGGUUUAGAACGUCGUGAGACAGUUCGGUCCCUAUCUACCGUGGGCGCUGGAAAUUUGAGAGGAUCUGCUCCUAGUACGAGAGGACCAGAGUGGACGAACCUCUGGUGUACCGGUUGUGACGCCAGUCGCAUCGCCGGGUAGCUAUGUUCGGAAGGGAUAACCGCUGAAAGCAUCUAAGCGGGAAGCCUACCUCAAGAUAAGAUUUCCCUAGGACUUUAUGUCCUCUAAAGAGCCGUUCGAGACUAGGACGUUGAUAGGUUGGAUGUGGAAGCAUAGUGAUAUGUGAAGCUGACCAAUACUAAUUGCUCGUGAGGCUUGACUAUACAACACCCAAGCAGUUG